This 932-nucleotide long non-coding RNA is filed under the name Brassica rapa (field mustard). RNAcentral describes it as "long non-coding RNA (BRAP_LNC005613)". The record is from RNAcentral. Lineage: Eukaryota; Viridiplantae; Streptophyta; Magnoliopsida; Brassicales; Brassicaceae.
GGAUCCAGAGUUAUAUAUGGUCCAUAUGGACUGUGUCUUAAAAAGUAGCUAACUAUAAUAUCUGGAGUUUUUUAUUUAUCAAGAUUAACUAUAUUCUGUUAUAUAUAGUCGCUAACUAAUUGUGUGGUUAUAUGUUAUUGUGGUCAGCUGUGUUACAUGGAAACGGAAGCGGAUACGUGGAAGCGGAAGCGUAUAGAAGCGCGGAAGCGAGAUUUUAAAAAAAGUUAGGAAGCGGGUACGUGUUGGAAGCGUAUACAUAUAUAAAUUUUUUUAAAAAAAUCUAGAACUAAAAAUUACAUGUUUAAAAUUUAAAAUAAAGCAUCUAUUCAUUUAUAAUAGUUUCCAAAUUAUUUCAUAUUAAAACUGUGAAAUACACAUAAAUUAAAUUUAAAAUAAAUUAUUAUAUUAAUUAUUUUUAUUACUUUAUAAUUAAUUGACAUCAUAUAUUUGAAUAUAUGAUUAUCUUUAUUAAAACCCUCAAUGCAUAAAGAUAAUUUAUAUUGUUAAUUUUUUAUAUACUUCUAUUCUUUCUAUUCAAUACUAUUAAAAUUUAGAUUUUAUAUAAAAUAAAAUUAUAAUUUUAUAUUUUUAUUGAUAUAAAACAUUGUGUUUUUUUUUAAGGAAUGGAAGCGUGAUUCCAAAACGGAAUCGUAAGCUUCCAACAUGUUUUUAAGAAGAAUAUUUUAGAAGCGUUUUGGAAGCGAGAUUCCGUAAGCUUCCACAAGAUUCUGAUUCCGAUUCCGAUUCCGAAGCGGACGUCCGAUGAAGCUUCCGUGCAACGUAGGUGGUCAGUACCGCUUGUAUAUGUUGAAAUAAUCAGAUAAGAUUACAUGUGUUGUAGUCUAUAUAAUUUCAUUUGUUGUGUGUGAAUAAUUAUGUUUGCAUAAGAGUUGAGAGCUUUCGUCGGACCAUUAUACUUAUCAUGUAUUAUU